This 253-nucleotide ribosomal RNA is filed under the name uncultured bacterium. Its description in RNAcentral is "partial 16S ribosomal RNA". It matches the Rfam family "Bacterial small subunit ribosomal RNA", at positions 524 to 776 of the family's 1533-position model. The record is from RNAcentral.
UACGUAGGGGGCAAGCGUUGUCCGGAUUUAUUGGGCGUAAAGAGCGUGUAGGCGGCUAGAUAGGUCCGUUGUGAAAACUCGAGGCUCAACCUCGAGACGUCGAUGGAAACCAUCUGGCUAGAGUCCGGAAGAGGAGAGUGGAAUUCCUGGUGUAGCGGUGAAAUGCGCAGAUAUCGGGAAGAACACCCGUGGCGAAGGCGGCUCUCUGGGACGGUACUGACGCUGAGACGCGAAAGCGUGGGGAGCGAACAGG